UGCAGUCGAGCGGUACAGGGGUAGCUUGCUACCCGCUGACGAGCGGCGGACGGGUGAGUAAUGCAUAGGAAUCUGCCCGGUAGUGGGGGAUAACCUGGGGAAACCCAGGCUAAUACCGCAUACGUCCUACGGGAGAAAGGGGGCUCCGGCUCCCGCUAUUGGAUGAGCCUAUGUCGGAUUAGCUAGUUGGUAAGGUAAUGGCUUACCAAGGCAACGAUCCGUAGCUGGUCUGAGAGGAUGAUCAGCCACAUCGGGACUGAGACACGGCCCGAACUCCUACGGGAGGCAGCAGUGGGGAAUAUUGGACAAUGGGGGGAACCCUGAUCCAGCCAUGCCGCGUGUGUGAAGAAGGCCCUCGGGUUGUAAAGCACUUUCAGCGAGGAAGAACGCCUAGUGGUUAAUACCCAUUAGGAAAGACAUCACUCGCAGAAGAAGCACCGGCUAACUCCGUGCCAGCAGCCGCGGUAAUACGGAGGGUGCAAGCGUUAAUCGGAAUUACUGGGCGUAAAGCGCGCGUAGGUGGCUUGAUAAGCCGGUUGUGAAAGCCCCGGGCUCAACCUGGGAACGGCAUCCGGAACUGUCAGGCUAGAGUGCAGGAGAGGAAGGUAGAAUUCCCGGUGUAGCGGUGAAAUGCGUAGAGAUCGGGAGGAAUACCAGUGGCGAAGGCGGCCUUCUGGACUGACACUGACACUGAGGUGCGAAAGCGUGGGUAGCAAACAGGAUUAGAUACCCUGGUAGUCCACGCCGUAAACGAUGUCGACCAGCCGUUGGGUGCCUAGAGCACUUUGUGGCGAAGUUAACGCGAUAAGUCGACCGCCUGGGGAGUACGGCCGCAAGGUUAAAACUCAAAUGAAUUGACGGGGGCCCGCACAAGCGGUGGAGCAUGUGGUUUAAUUCGAUGCAACGCGAAGAACCUUACCUACCCUUGACAUCUACAGAAGCCGGAAGAGAUUCUGGUGUGCCUUCGGGAACUGUAAGACAGGUGCUGCAUGGCUGUCGUCAGCUCGUGUUGUGAAAUGUUGGGGUUAAGUCCCGUAACGAGCGCAACCCUUGUCCUUAUUUGCCACCACGUAAUGGGUGGGAACUCUCAAGGAGACUGCCGGUGAC
Molecule: ribosomal RNA, 1107 nt
Filed under: Halomonas sp. NCCP-923
Lineage: Bacteria; Pseudomonadati; Pseudomonadota; Gammaproteobacteria; Oceanospirillales; Halomonadaceae
Description: bacterial SSU rRNA
Rfam family: Bacterial small subunit ribosomal RNA
Source: RNAcentral